GCCAGCAGUCAUAUCGCUCUGCAGCUCACAACUGGCAAUCCACUGAAGCUAAGCAGGUGUGAGCCUGGUGAGUACCUGGAUGGGAGACCUCCUGGGAAAAAAGGUUACUGCUGGAA
Molecule: ribosomal RNA, 116 nt
Filed under: Lepisosteus oculatus (spotted gar)
Lineage: Eukaryota; Metazoa; Chordata; Actinopteri; Semionotiformes; Lepisosteidae
Source: RNAcentral